This 482-nucleotide ribosomal RNA is filed under the name uncultured Sphingobacteriales bacterium. RNAcentral describes it as "bacterial SSU rRNA". It matches the Rfam family "Bacterial small subunit ribosomal RNA", at positions 897 to 1382 of the family's 1533-position model. Lineage: Bacteria; Pseudomonadati; Bacteroidota; Sphingobacteriia; Sphingobacteriales. The record is from RNAcentral.
AAACUCAAAUGAAUUGACGGGGCCCGCACAAGCGGAGGAACAUGUGGUUUAAUUCGAUGAUACGCGAGGAACCUUACCUGGGCUUAAAUGGGGAGUGACAGCUGUCGAAAGAUGGUUUUCUUCGGACACUCUUCAAGGUGCUGCAUGGUUGUCGUCAGCUCGUGCCGUGAGGUGUCGGGUUAAGUCCCAUAACGAGCGCAACCCUUACCGUUAGUUACCAUCAGGUUAAGCUGGGGACUCUAGCGGGACUGCCACCGUAAGGUGAGAGGAAGUGGGGAUGACGUCAAAUCAGCACGGCCCUUAUGUCCAGGGCUACACACGUGUUACAAUGGCCAGUACAAAGGGCAGCUACCGGGUGACCGGAUGCUAAUCUCUAAAGCUGGUCUCAGUUCGGAUCGAAGUCUGCAACCCGACUUCGUGAAGCUGGAUUCGCUAGUAAUCGCGCAUCAGCCAUGGCGCGGUCGAAUACGUUCCCGGGCCUU